This 474-nucleotide ribosomal RNA is filed under the name uncultured bacterium. RNAcentral's name for it is "bacterial SSU rRNA". It matches the Rfam family "Bacterial small subunit ribosomal RNA", at positions 355 to 825 of the family's 1533-position model. The record is from RNAcentral.
CAGGGAAUUUUGCGCAAUGGGCGAAAGUCUGACGCAGCGACGCCGCGUGUGGGAGGAAGCUCUUCGGGGUGUAAACCACUGUCAGGAGGGAAGAACGGCGCCGGUUCGAACAGUUCCGGCGAUUGACGGUACCUCCAAAGGAAGCCCCGGCCAACUACGUGCCAGCAGCCGCGGUAACACGUAGGGGGCGAGCGUUGUCCGGAUUUAUUGGGCGUAAAGAGCUCGUAGGCGGUUUGGCAAGUCGGGUGUGAAAUUUCGAGGCUCAACCUCGAAACGCCACUCGAUACUGCCAUGACUGGAGUCCGGUAGAGGAGUGCGGAAUUCCUGGUGUAGCGGUGAAAUGCGCAGAUAUCAGGAGGAACACCAACGGCGAAGGCAGCACUCUGGGCCGGUAUUGACGCUGAGGAGCGAAAGCGUGGGGAGCAAACAGGAUUAGAUACCCCUGUAGUCCCUGAGCGGGCUGGCAAGGCGCAU